This is a long non-coding RNA of Prionailurus viverrinus (fishing cat), 723 nucleotides long. RefSeq lists it as uncharacterized. Lineage: Eukaryota; Metazoa; Chordata; Mammalia; Carnivora; Felidae. The record is from RefSeq and is a predicted model, not a curated record. The transcript is spliced from 5 exons.
GUCUCAUAUUAUCAGGGAAGGAGGGCAUCAGGCAAGCAGUCUCCAAGCAUGAAACAUCAUUCACCUCAUUUCAGACAGACCCUGUGACAAAUUACAGCCUCCUCAGACAUUAAAAAUACAUUGAUCAAGAGAAGUUGUAAGACAUGGAAGAAAAAUUAAUCCAUACCUCUCUUAGAAAGAAAAGAAGGAACCACUUUGCUGAAUGACCUUUGAGCUGAACAGACCAUCGAGUUUUAAAAGUACCUGCCAGUUUCACAUCCCUUCUGAGACUUUAAAGAGCAACUGAAUGAUUUUGGACCUCUGCUGAAAUUCAAACCAAAUUAGAAGCCAGACGGUUGUUACCCAUAAUCCCCACAUGAGAUGAAUCCCAGGAAGCCCAUCUGCUUGAAUUCCCCAUUUCCACAUGGAAGUUAGGAUCUCCAGCUAUUCAUAAUCUGGGCCUCUGGUGCAAUUAGAAGAGGCUGAAAAGGCACAGAAGCAGAGCAUAAGCAUUGGACAGACUCGUGAACUACAGGAGGAGGUUACUUGAGUAUAACCAAAAAGUUUGGGACUGACCAUCAAUGAGGAACCUCACUAAAAUGCUCUCUGCGUGACUGUCUUUGAAAUGACAACGUAUUGGGAAGGUCAGGAAGAUGGUGACGUAGGAGGACUCUGGGCUCACCGCGCGUCCUGCUGAUCACUUAGAUUCCACCUACACCUGCCUAAAUAACCCAGAAAACCGAG